UGGGUGAUCUGCCCUGCACUUUGGGAUAAGCCUGGGAAACUGGGUCUAAUACCGAAUACACCUUGCUGGCUGCAUGGCCUGGGUGGGGGAAAGCUUUUGCGGUGUGGGAUGGGCCCGCGGCCUAUCAGCUUGUUGGUGAGGUUACGGCUCACCAAGGCGUCGACGGGUAGCCGGCCUGAGAGGGUGACCGGCCACACUGGGACUGAGACACGGCCCAGACUCCGUACGGGAGCA
RNAcentral lists this ribosomal RNA (234 nucleotides) under uncultured bacterium. RNAcentral describes it as "partial 16S ribosomal RNA". It matches the Rfam family "Bacterial small subunit ribosomal RNA", at positions 118 to 347 of the family's 1533-position model. The record is from RNAcentral.